GAAGCUGCUUCGGCCCCGCCCCCCCAGCCUGCGCGCGCCCCCGCCCUCGCCCCCUCCCCCCAGCGCGCGACCCUCCGGAGAUAGGGGUUUAAAUAAAAUUUGAAUAAAUCCCCUUCCUUAAGCUGGAAGGUGGAAGGAAAGGAUGGAAGGGGGCAGGGAAAGGGGGAGGGGGCAAUUGGGGUGCCUCAGCCCCCCUGGUCCCCCAGCCCCGCGCUGCUUCGGCCCGGGGCCCUGGCCGCCUCUCUCAUCCCUCCAGAGCUCCUUCCUCCUUCCUCCUCUCUUCCCCCACCCCUCCCUCCUCCUUCCCUCCUCCUCCUCCUCCUCUUUACUCCCUCCUUCUCCCAGAGGAACCCCGCCCCCUGCCCCCUCCUUUCCCCACCACCUCCACUUUCCAGGGCGAACACGCGCAGGGCACGACGGAAAUCGUAGUCCUGCGGACGCCGGUGAUACCGUAGGAACAAUGGGACGCUGGGGCCAGCGGGGACUACAAACAAGAUGGCGGAGGGCGUGCCAAGCCGGGAGCCGAGGAUGCCGGGAGUUAUAGUCCGGUUGCCCCGAGGCUCCCCGUUGCAGAGGAUAGAGAAGGAGCGGGAACGAUGACUACAAACAAGAUGGCCUUCUCCCCCGACCCGACCUCCUUCCCAGGCACUCGCACGCCCUCCUGUCCACAACCCUCCGCGUGUGUGGUACCUGACGGGAGUCGCAGUCCAUCUGCUGCCUUCCCGCUGCCAUUUCUACUCGUCAGGAACAAUGGAAAGGUGAAAAGGAAUGAGGACUACAAACAAGAUGGCGGAAGAGGGGCGUACACCUGACUAGCAGUCGGUCUUAUGAGGCUGGACCUAGUGACUUGCCUGUACAAUGAAUAGAAUCAGCAAAAGUGAUGGGACCAUACUUUCAAGAUAAGGCUACAAAAGACUGUGAUUUCCAUCUUGGCACUCUUCUCUGCUUCUCUGAUAAAACAAGAUGUCUUGUUGUGAACUGCCGCAAGGAGAGGUCCACAUGGCAAGAACUGAGAACAACCUCCCACUACAAGCGGGGGAAGGACUGAAGCCUUCAGACCAACAACCCUUGAGGAACUGAAUCCUGCCAACACCGCAUAAGUGGACUUGGAAGCAGAUACCUGUGCCCCUUGAGAUGACUGCACCCUGACAAUGUUUGCAGGCUGCUGAGAGUCUCAGCCUCUGGCCCACAGAAAUGGAAAUGGAAAUAAUGAAUGUUAUUUUAAACUACAA
Molecule: long non-coding RNA, 1232 nt
Organism: Neofelis nebulosa (Clouded leopard)
Lineage: Eukaryota; Metazoa; Chordata; Mammalia; Carnivora; Felidae
Exons: 2
Source: RefSeq, a predicted model, not a curated record